This 515-nucleotide ribosomal RNA is filed under the name uncultured bacterium. Its description in RNAcentral is "partial 16S ribosomal RNA". It matches the Rfam family "Bacterial small subunit ribosomal RNA", at positions 28 to 523 of the family's 1533-position model. The record is from RNAcentral.
GAUGAACGCUGGCGGCGUGCCUAAUACAUGCAAGUCGAGCGAAUGGAUUAAGAGCUUGCUCUUAUGAAGUUAGCGGCGGACGGGUGAGUAACACGUGGGUAACCUGCCCAUAAGACUGGGAUAACUCCGGGAAACCGGGGCUAAUACCGGAUAAUAUUUUGAACUGCAUGGUUCAAAAUUGAAAGGCGGCUUCGGCGGUCACUUAUGGAUGGACCCGCGUCGCAUUAGCUAGUUGGUGAGGUAACGGCUCACCAAGGCAACGAUGCGUAGCCGACCUGAGAGGGUGAUCGGCCACACUGGGACUGAGACACGGCCCAGACUCCUACGGGAGGCAGCAGUAGGGAAUCUUCCGCAAUGGACGAAAGUCUGACGGAGCAACGCCGCGUGAGUGAUGAAGGCUUUCGGGUCGUAAAACUCUGUUGUUAGGGAAGAACAAGUGCUAGUUGAAUAAGCUGGCACCUUGACGGUACCUAACCAGAAAGCCACGACUAACUACGUGCCAGCAGCCGCUGUAA